GAUGAACGCUGGCGGCGUGCUUAACACAUGCAAGUCGAACGGAAAGGCCCUGCUUUUGUGGGGUGCUCGAGUGGCGAACGGGUGAGUAACACGUGAGUAACCUGCCCUUGACUUUGGGAUAACUUCAGGAAACUGGGGCUAAUACCGGAUAGGAGCUCCUGCUGCAUGGUGGGGGUUGGAAAGUUUCGGCGGUUGGGGAUGGACUCGCGGCUUAUCAGCUUGUUGGUGGGGUAGUGGCUUACCAAGGCUUUGACGGGUAGCCGGCCUGAGAGGGUGACCGGCCACAUUGGGACUGAGAUACGGACCAGACUCCUACGGGAGGCAGCAGUGGGGAAUAUUGCACAAUGGGCGGAAGCCUGAUGCAGCAACGCCGCGUGCGGGAUGACGGCCUUCGGGUUGUAAACCGCUUUCGCCUGUGACGAAGCGUGAGUGACGGUAAUGGGUAAAGAAGCACCGGCUAACUACGUG
This 468-nucleotide ribosomal RNA is filed under the name uncultured bacterium. Its description in RNAcentral is "partial 16S ribosomal RNA". It matches the Rfam family "Bacterial small subunit ribosomal RNA", at positions 28 to 507 of the family's 1533-position model. The record is from RNAcentral.